GAAAGAUUUACAACUGCGAAUUUGGUAUUUAUUUUGGUUUUGUUUUCUUUCUAUCGCAUCUAAACAUUUUAUUAAAAAACUGCUGCGGAUACAAGUGAUAAAUGAAUUGCUGAAUUAAAUAGAGAUACGGGUUGCAUGAAGUUACGGCUUUGUUUAAUGACUUGCAAUAGUUGCAAGGACGGUUUAUUUAUGGACCUGCAAUGUGCAACGGGCUCCUUCGUUGUGUUCUAGAAAAUUUGUAUUAUGUACUUAUAAUAGCCCACAUCACAGUAUUACCCAGCGUGUAAAUCAUUUGGAAUUGAGAAAUCGUCAGUUGCAAAAUGCUAUCAAGCAAAAGGAACAACAAACAGAAUUCUUACAACAAAAGCAAAUUUCAUUUGUGUUUUCACAGCAUGUUGGUCUUUCCAUAUGUAAGCAAAGCCUACACCAUUCAUCUUGGCAUGCAACAGGUUGGCUUAAGAUUUGCAGAGAUUGCAACUUCUGCAAGGUUGCUUGAAGUUAUUCC
Long non-coding RNA from Rhagoletis zephyria (snowberry fruit fly), 505 nucleotides. RefSeq lists it as uncharacterized. The record is from RefSeq and is a predicted model, not a curated record. NCBI's taxonomy places the organism in Eukaryota, Metazoa, Arthropoda, Insecta, Diptera, Tephritidae.